AACGAACGCUGGCGGCAGGCUUAACACAUGCAAGUCGAACGCCCCGCAAGGGGAGUGGCAGACGGGUGAGUAACGCGUGGGAAUCUACCCAUCUCUACGGAAUAACUCAGGGAAACUUGUGCUAAUACCGUAUACGCCCUUAGGGGGAAAGAUUUAUCGGAGAUGGAUGAGCCCGCGUUGGAUUAGCUAGUUGGUGGGGUAAAGGCCUACCAAGGCGACGAUCCAUAGCUGGUCUGAGAGGAUGAUCAGCCACACUGGGACUGAGACACGGCCCAGACUCCUACGGGAGGCAGCAGUGGGGAAUAUUGGACAAUGGGCGCAAGCCUGAUCCAGCCAUGCCGCGUGAGUGAUGAAGGCCCUAGGGUUGUAAAGCUCUUUCACCGGUGAAGAUAAUGACGGUAACCGGAGAAGAAGCCCCGGCUAACUUCGUG
Molecule: ribosomal RNA, 431 nt
Filed under: uncultured bacterium
Lineage: Bacteria
Description: bacterial SSU rRNA
Rfam family: Bacterial small subunit ribosomal RNA
Source: RNAcentral